Non-coding RNA from Podarcis lilfordi (Lilford's wall lizard), 75 nucleotides. The record is from the annotation of a GenBank genome assembly. Lineage: Eukaryota; Metazoa; Chordata; Lepidosauria; Squamata; Lacertidae.
UUGGGAUAGCUCAGUUGAUAGAGCACCAGACUCUUAAUCUCAGGGGUGUGGGUUUGAGCCUCACACUGGGCAAAA